ACCUCCUGCCCCCUGCCAAGGCAGCAGCCAGAGCACUUCUGUCCUUUUGGGGUGGAUUGGUGCCCGUGAUCCCAGCGUGGGAAUCACUCGUGGUGUGAUCAGCAGCACCCAUUUGUGUGGUGUCAGAUGGGAGCCAGGGAGGUUCUUGUUCUCUAAAAUCAAACUGAAGGUGAAAGGGAGCAGAUGGGAAGGUGUAGAAAGCUUGGCAGUGCUGUGGUUUUAAAUCUGAACUCAGCUCAGGGUUUUGAACUGGCAACUCUUCCUUGGGGCUUUCUCUUGUCCUGUUUAAUGCAAGUUGAGUUUCUGUUCUUUGCUCAGUGUUUUGCUGUGGCAACCCUGCCUGUCUCUGUCCACUGUGCUUCAGUUCCAGACCUUUUCUGGUUUUAUUAGGUUUUUCUGCUGUCUGUUAUUAUUGCACCCUUAUUUUUCUCUCCAGAAAUAACACAAUAGAAAUCCAUUUGUGCUUCCAACAACUCCCAGGAGGGAGAGGUUUUCCAGGGUUUCUUAGACACACACCACCUUUGUUUGGAGCACUGUUUAUAUCAGCUGGAUACAGCUGCAGAUGGACUGGCUGGCACCGAGCUCCUGGAAUAUGGAAAAAGAUGGACUGGAGCACCUUGACCCCUCUCUCUGAGAAAGGAAAUGAUUUACUCCUGCUACUGCUGCUGAGGAGCAGCUGGAAGUGCAAGGAAGAGCCUGGAGCAUCCAGGAAAGCCUAACCUGGGUGUAGCUGUGGGCACACAGGAGGCUGAAGAGGUUUGGAAAAGAGCGAGGAGAGCUCAUGGAGAGGAGAGCAGGAGGAGUUUUCCCUUGAGGUGACCUUUCCUGGAGUGCUUCUGCUUUCCUUCCAUCCUGCCUGGACAACGUCUGCUGGAUUUUCCAUUCUCUCACAGCAGUGCCUGAAGCUGCUCCUGGAGGAGUCCUGCACUCUUGUGAUGCUGAUUGAAGGCAGCUGUAAUAUUUGAGUGUGGGGUGAGCUGGGUGCUGUCCUCAGCUGUGUCCCCUCCCCAGAGGACAGCCCUGUUCUUCAGCACAUUCCCUUAUUUCCCUGUCCCUGAGCCCCAGUGCCAGGGCAGGAGCUGGUGCUGGCUGGGACAGGGCUCCUGCAGGGGUCCCCUGGGGACCAUCACAGCCCCAGGGCUCUGUUCAGAGCAGGGACUUUGCAGCUGUCCCUGGGAAGUGUCCCCAGCACUAAAAGCUCUGUUUGUCUGCAGCUGGCACUGAGUUACACCUGCAUUUCACUGGGGACAUAGGGAGACACCCCCUCAGCUUGCACAGAGUGCCACAGGGCCAGGAGGAGCCCUGAGGCUUCUUCAGCAUCUUCUCAGCUUCUCCUGCCUCUGUCCCACCGAGGCCCCAGCCAGGCUGUGUGUGACUGCUGGAACCUCUGGGGCCUGUGGCUGCCACGCUCCGGGUGUCACUCAGCACUGGGGUGCCAGUGGGGCCACAGGGGUUCUGUGGCCCAGGGGUGAAGCUGGUGGUCACUUCCUGACUCCUCAGUGUCACAUCAGCCCCAGGAGCAUCUUCUCCCCGGCUGAGUGCUGUGCUGCCAGGCUGGCACACUGCAGGGUGUGAGUGUCCCCUGCCCACGGGUGGCAGCCCCGGGUGCGGGGGAGUGGGGAGAGAGUGAUUGCUGUGUUCCAUAAGGAGAAAUAAAUAAAGAGAG
This is a long non-coding RNA of Parus major (Great Tit), 1666 nucleotides long. Lineage: Eukaryota; Metazoa; Chordata; Aves; Passeriformes; Paridae. The record is from Ensembl.